GAUCCUGGCUCAGGACGAACGCUGGCGGCGUGCUUAACACAUGCAAGUCGAACGGAGCACCCUUGAAUGAGACUUCGGUCAAAGGAAAGGAAUGCUUAGUGGCGGACUGGUGAGUAACGCGUGAGGAACCUGCCUUUCAGAGGGGGACAACAGCUGGAAACGGCUGCUAAUACCGCAUGACGCAUUCGGAUGGCAUCAUCUGAAUGCCAAAGAUUUUAUCGCUGAAAGAUGGG
Molecule: ribosomal RNA, 233 nt
Filed under: uncultured bacterium
Lineage: Bacteria
Description: partial 16S ribosomal RNA
Rfam family: Bacterial small subunit ribosomal RNA
Source: RNAcentral